Molecule: ribosomal RNA, 253 nt
Filed under: uncultured bacterium
Lineage: Bacteria
Description: partial 16S ribosomal RNA
Rfam family: Bacterial small subunit ribosomal RNA
Source: RNAcentral
UACGUAGGGUGCGAGCGUUAAUCGGAAUUACUGGGCGUAAGGCGUGCGCAGGCGGUUUUGUAAGCCAGAUGUGAAAUCCCUGGGCUCAACCCAGGAACUGCAUUUGAAACUCCCUUUCUUGAGUGUCGGAGAGGAAAGUGGAAUUCCUGGUGUAGAGGUGAAAUUCGCAGAUAUCAGGAGGAACACCGGUGGCGAAGGCGGCUUUCUGGACGACAACUGACGCUGAGACGCGAAAGCGUGGGGAGCAAACAGG